GGACUCGUUGCACAGCUUGGAUAGUGCGAGCGGCUUCGAACCGCUAGGUCGAGGGAUCGAAGCCCUCCGAGCCCU
Molecule: transfer RNA, 75 nt
Filed under: Candidatus Nitrosopumilus sp.
Lineage: Archaea; Thermoproteati; Nitrososphaerota; Nitrososphaeria; Nitrosopumilales; Nitrosopumilaceae
Description: Nitrosopumilus sp. tRNA-Arg
Rfam family: tRNA
About the family: Transfer RNA (tRNA) molecules are approximately 80 nucleotides in length. Their secondary structure includes four short double-helical elements and three loops (D, anti-codon, and T loops).
Source: RNAcentral